Molecule: long non-coding RNA, 393 nt
Filed under: Mytilus galloprovincialis (Mediterranean mussel)
Lineage: Eukaryota; Metazoa; Mollusca; Bivalvia; Mytilida; Mytilidae
Source: RNAcentral
AAAAAAGUACAAAUGGCUUAGUGAAUAGAAAUUUCAGUGCUUUAUUCUUCAUUAUGAAAGUGGGAUUUACCAGCAAUGAUUUAUUUGUGAUUGUUAGCAAAAAAAAAAAAUUUACAAUAAUUAUCUUUGUUAGAAAGAACAAAUAGUGUAUCAAAUGUAAAAUGUCCCAAACCUAAUUAGAAUAGUCCAUUCAGGACAUUGGACAUGAGGAAAGCAAGCUAGCUAUCAUUCAUUUAAAUUAGCUCUGUUAAAAACAACAGGUAAUAUCUACAGGUAGUUAAAUGACCCCUGUUGAUAAUAGCUCUCACAAUACCUAUUGUACAAUUUAAAUGGACAAAUUGUAUUGACAAUUUUUUAAACUGGUCAGGCAAUAGGUAAUUCACUACCACAAAG